AGGGUAUGUAAGUCUCGUCAUGUGACUUGCGAGAUUUCACGAUAUUUUGCACUUCCGGGUACAAACAAAUAUCAACAACAUUGCUUAUCUAUAUUGGGUAAUACUUGUAUGCCGGUGGGAAAGUAAAACUUACACGGAAAAGCAAAGGAUAUGUUAAAAUUGGAGUGUUUUGUUUUGUAACGAAAUGCAAAUGGUUUCAUCUUGUGAACAAGUAUCAAUGAAAGACAACUUCGUAUAAUCUUCAGAUAUUAAGACUGAGGAAAGUGGUGAGUUGAAAGACGUCAACUGGUAUCCGAUGUAAACACACAUGCAUGCUCUGCUGUAAAAUCGUUUUGGUAUGUGAUUUCAUGGUUGGAUCUUGAGUACUUGUCAUGGCUCUUGAUUUAUUUUGGAGUGUUCACCAUCAGAUUAGAAACCAAAUAGUGAUACCACCAGACAUAGUUGAAAGGAAAUGUCCAUACACAGUCCUGGAGUACAUAGUGGUACCUAGAGACAUGGCAGUCCAUCACAGAUUUUGACUGAAUUAAAGCUUCUUAAAGCUCCAUGUCUUGUGUAAACUGUCUGACUGAAUGUUUGUAUUCUAAUAAAAACUAAGGUUGAAGACACUUCAAAGAUAUAUGUCAGUGUAAAAAUGUUAAACAAAAUAUCUGUCUUUGUUAGAAAUAAAUAACCUGUCUUUGUUAGAAAUAAAUAACCUGUCAUUUGUAACUUUGUAUUAACUUAAUAAUUCAAAGAUAAUUUAUCUUCUGCAAAUGGCUGUCCAAAACAGUUUCAACCAGGCAUCAUGUAGUUUCAAAACAGUUAAGAUAAAAUUGUUUUAAAUAGACUCAUAAGGUGACAAAAAUGGUAAAAAGAUAAAUGAUCUGCAUUAAAAUGUUUCUAUCUUGAUUGAGUUUCAUUUCAUACUAUCACCAUUAUCACUGCAAUUGUAA
Molecule: long non-coding RNA, 932 nt
Organism: Ruditapes philippinarum (Manila clam)
Lineage: Eukaryota; Metazoa; Mollusca; Bivalvia; Venerida; Veneridae
Exons: 3
Source: RefSeq, a predicted model, not a curated record